This 485-nucleotide ribosomal RNA is filed under the name uncultured bacterium. RNAcentral describes it as "partial 16S ribosomal RNA". It matches the Rfam family "Bacterial small subunit ribosomal RNA", at positions 28 to 507 of the family's 1533-position model. The record is from RNAcentral.
GAUGAACGCUGGCGGCGUGCUUAACACAUGCAAGUCGAACGGAAAGGCUCCUGCUUGCAGGGGUACUCGAGUGGCGAACGGGUGAGUAACACGUGGGUGAUCUGCCCUGCACUUUGGGAUCAGCCUGGGAAACUGGGUCUCAUACCGGAUCGGAGGAUGGUUUGGAUGCCCUUGUGGACAGCUUUUCGUUGUGGGAUGCGCUGGCGGCCUAUCGGCUUGUUGGGGGGGUAAUGGCCUACCAAGUCGUCGAAGGGUAGCCGGUCUGAGAGGCGGUAAGGCCGCCUGAGGGCGUGUACGGGCACAUUGGGACUGAGGGACGGCGCAGUGUCCUACUGUGGGCAGCGGGGGGGAAUAUGGCACAAUAGGGCCGAGCCUAAGGCAGAGACGCCGCGUGUGGGAUGACGGCCUUCAGGGUGUGAACUGCUUUCGGUAAAGACGAAGCGCAAAUGACGGUACCGGGAGAAGAAGCACCGGCUAACUACGUG